Long non-coding RNA from Sinocyclocheilus grahami, 1641 nucleotides. The record is from Ensembl. Lineage: Eukaryota; Metazoa; Chordata; Actinopteri; Cypriniformes; Cyprinidae.
GGACCAUUGUUACUCCACAAUAAAGGAUGCAUAUCGCUCGGUCCCCAGAGCAGCUGUAGGACUCUCUGACCACUGCCUGGUUCAUCUUAUACCGACCUACAGGCAUAAACUUAAAUCUGCUAAACCUGUAGUAAAGUCUGUAAAGAGGUGGACCAACGAAACAGAGCAGGCAUUGCAAGCCUGUUUCGACUGCACUGAUUGGAGUGUUUUUGAAGCAGCCACCAACGAUCUGGACGAGCUCACAGAAUCUGUAACAUCAUAUAUCAGUUUCUGUGAAGACAUGUGCAUCCCUACCAGGACUCAUUUAACAUUCAACAAUGAUAAGCCAUGGUUUACAGCAAAACUUCGUCAUCUUCGUCAGGCCAAAGAGGACGCCUACAAAAGGGGGGACAGAGUCUUGUACAAUCAGGCCAGAAACACACUGAAUAAGGAGAUUAGAGUGGCCAAGAGGAACUACGCUAAAAAACUAGAACACCAGUUUUCUGCGAAUGAGCCUGCAUCAGUGUGGAAAGGCCUGAAGGACAUCACCAACUACAAGACACCAUCCCCCAGCACUGAGGCCAAUCAACAACUUGCUGAAGACCUGAAUGGGUUUUACUGUAGAUUUGAAACUCCCAGUCUAACACCCCACACCCGCUCUGAACAUCUCUCCACACAACCAUCAACACCUCCUGCAACCCCCCUCUCCCCCACUCCUACGUUUCAGAUCAGUGAGGAUGAUGUGCGCCAGGUCUUCAGGAAGAACAAGAGAAGAAAAGCACCAGGCCCAGACGGUGUGACACCAGCCUGUCUGAAAACCUGCGCUGACCAACUGGCCCCCAUCUUCUCACAGAUCUUCAACAGAUCACUGGAGCUGUGCAAAGUCCCUGCCUGCUUCAAACGCUCCACCAUCAUCCCCAUCCCAAAGAAACCUAAGAUAACAGGACUUAAUGACUACAGACCUGUGGCCCUAACGUCUGUGGUCAUGAAGACAUUUGAGAGGUUGGUGUUGGCUUAUCUGAAGGACAUUACUGGACCCUUACUAGACCCCCUGCAGUUUGCUUACCGAGCAAACAGGUCCGUGGAUGAUGCAGUCAAUAUGGGACUGCACUUCAUCCUGCAACAUCUGGACAAAACAGGGACUUAUGUGAGGAUCCUGUUUGUGGACUUUAGCUCUGCUUUCAACACCAUCAUCCCAACACUCCUCCAGACCAAACUAACCCAGCUCUCUGUCCCUAGCUCUAUCUGUCAAUGGAUCACCAGCUUUCUGACAGAUAGGCAACAGCUAGUGAGAAUUGGUAAAUUCACAUCCAACAACCGCACCACCAGCACUGGCACCCCUCAGGGUUGCGUCCUCUCCCCACUGCUCUUCUCCCUCUACACCAAUGACUGCACCUCUAAAGACCCCUCUGUCAAGCUCCUGAAGUAUGCAGAUGACACUACAGUCAUCGGUCUCAUCAAGGAUGGAGACGAGUCUGCUUACAGACAGGAGGUUAAAGAGCUGGCUGUCUGGUGCAGUCUUAACAACUUGGAGCUGAACACCCUCAAAACAGUGGAGAUGAUCGUGGACUUCAGGAGGAACCCCCCUGCACUCCCCCCACUCACCAUCAUGGAUAGCACUGUAACGACAGUGGAGUCAUUCAGGUUCCUGGGCACCACCAU